RNA transcript from Trifolium pratense (red clover), 1949 nucleotides. It is a transcript of the gene named glutathione S-transferase zeta class-like, with no coding region annotated. The transcript has 10 exons. Lineage: Eukaryota; Viridiplantae; Streptophyta; Magnoliopsida; Fabales; Fabaceae. The record is from RefSeq and is a predicted model, not a curated record.
GCAACCAUCCAUCCAUCGGGUCGGGAUUCGAUUCCCGGGGUCAAAUAAAGAAAUAAAUAAAAACCAACCUUCCUUCCUAGCACGGUGGUCAACUGGUCAUCAUCAUCAUCAUCUACAUCUAACAUCUAGUCUUCUGCUUUGAAGGUUGAACCAUAAGCACCGCUCUCAAUGGCAAGUGCAAGUGUUGUUGUUGGUGUUGGUGAAGCAGAAGAAGAAGAACACAAUAAUAAGCUGAUUCUGUAUUCAUUUUGGAGAAGUUCAUGUUCCUUCCGAGUCCGAAUUGCUCUUAACUUUAAAGGCCUCAAAUAUGACUACAAACAAGUCAAUCUCUUGAAGGGAGAACAAUCUCAUCCUGAGUUUCUCCAGCUCAACCCUGUUGGUUUUGUUCCUGUUCUUGUCGAUGGCCCUGCUGUUAUUUCCGACUCUUUCGCCAUUAUUAUGUAUUUGGAGGAUAAGUACCCUCAACAUCCUUUGCUCCCUACUGAUAUUCACAAAAGAGCAAUCAAUUUCCAGGCUGUCAGUAUUGUUUCUUCAUCAAUACAACCUCUUCAAAACCUAAGUCUCCUGACGUACAUAGAGGGAAAAGCUGGCCCUGAUGAAAAACUUUCAUGGGUCCAGAGUGUAAUUAAAAAAGGCUUCACAGCUCUUGAAAAGCUAUUGAAAGAACACACUGGGAGGUUUGCUACUGGAGAUGAAGUUUUCAUGGCAGAUAUAUUUUUAGCACCUCAGAUACACUCUGCAUUUAAGAAAUUCAACAUUGACAUGGUAGUAUUCUAUGGUCUCCUGUAUAUUUUAUGUGGGGGAAUAAGGUGUUGUAAUGAAACAUGUGGCUUGUAUUGCUGCGGUGCCAUCACCGCAGCUGCUUUGAUCAUGGAUGUAUCUUUGUGUUUUGUCCACACUUCAAACAAAUAUAGGCUGUUGCCUAAAGGCCUUUGGCCAUUGCCUAUUUGCUUGAGCUAUUAGUUGAUUUAGAUUGAAUAAUUGCGUCAACAUUUCUUCGUGUUAUUCAAAUCAAGCAGCUAAUAAUAUGAAUGUGUAAGAUGAUUAAUCUCAGUCUUUGUUCAUAUAUGUUUGAUUACAAAAUUUUGGGAAACUGCAUGACUUUCUUGCCUGUACCACUUGAUGGCUGUUGGAGAAGUACAUGCAAUCAAGGUCAUUCAACCAGAAAGAGGAUGCAUUGAUAACAGGGUGUUCAAUAUGGAUAAAACCGGUCAUUCUGGAACUCUCAAAAUUUUGAAACCUUUUAUUUUCUAUAGUGAAAUAUUCUGUCAUGUAUCAAAUUGCAUUGCCCGAGUUCAUCAGAUGACUUACUUUUCCCUUAAUUCACCAAGCAGACUGAGUUCCCUACUCUAUCAAGAUUACACGAGACAUAUUAUGAGGUCCCAGCAUUCCGGGAGGCUUUGCCAGAGAAUCAACCAGAUGCAGCAGGCUAGCUGAGUCAAUGAUUUGGGGCUGAAAUCCGACCUGAUGUUAGGUUGGAGAAAUUGCAGCAGGACCUACUGAUUUAGCAUCUGGUUGAAUUUGUAACAACAAUAAGUUACUUUAUGUAGCAAUAAGGUACUAUCCCACGUGUAGUUCGUGCAGUUUAUUGUAUUGGUCAAAACAAGUCGAUGAAUUUGAUUUGAACUAAAUACAUCUACUUGCUUCGACCAAUUUUUGCUUAUAAUCUGACACAAAAUGAGUAUAUGAGUACAAAAAUCCCAGUGUUUAGUUUCUACCCUGUAUUUUCAGUAAAAACAUUUUUAUCUUUUUGCGGAAAUAUGGAUCUGACAACACCAUGGAUUGUGUUCAUAGAUAGUUUUAAUUCCACUUUAUUUUUUUAUUUUAUAGUUUUGACAUGUAAUUUUCAUUCUUUAUCUCUGCCACUAUCUCUGAUUAGUGGACUAUCAUUUUAAUUUAAUUAUUUUAAAAAAUAAUUAAGAUGUGAGACAUAAAGUUAUGAUCUCAAU